CAAACGACUCUCGGCAACGGAUAUCUCGGCUCACGCAUCGAUGAAGAACGUAGCAAAAUGCGAUACUUGGUGUGAAUUGCAGAAUCCCGUGAACCAUCGAGUUUUUGAACGCAAGUUGCGCCCGAAGCCAUCCGGCCGAGGGCACGCCUGCCUGGGCGUCACGU
Molecule: ribosomal RNA, 164 nt
Filed under: Marshalljohnstonia gypsophila
Lineage: Eukaryota; Viridiplantae; Streptophyta; Magnoliopsida; Asterales; Asteraceae
Also listed under: 1 other name
Description: 5.8S ribosomal RNA
Rfam family: 5.8S ribosomal RNA
About the family: 5.8S ribosomal RNA (5.8S rRNA) is a component of the large subunit of the eukaryotic ribosome. It is transcribed by RNA polymerase I as part of the 45S precursor that also contains 18S and 28S rRNA. Functionally, it is thought that 5.8S rRNA may be involved in ribosome translocation.
Source: RNAcentral